CUCGGAGUUUGAUCCUGGCUCAGAUUGAACGCUGGCGGAAUGCUUUACACAUGCAAGUCGAACGGUAGAGGGGGCAACCCUCGAGAGUGGCGAACGGGUGAGUAAUAUAUCGGAACGUGCCCAGUCGUGGGGGAUAACGUAGUGAAAUUACGCUAAUACCGCAUACGAUCUAAGGAUGAAAGCGGGGAUCGCAAGACCUCGCGCGAUUGGAGCGGCCGAUAUCAGAUUAGGUAGUUGGUAGGGUAAAGGCCUACCAAGCCAACGAUCUGUAGCUGGUCUGAGAGGACGACCAGCCACACUGGAACUGAGACACGGUCCAGACUCCUACGGGAGCAGCAGUGGGGAAUUUGGACAAUGGACGCAAGUCUGAUCCAGCCAUUCCCGCGUGCAGGAUG
Molecule: ribosomal RNA, 395 nt
Filed under: uncultured Limnohabitans sp.
Lineage: Bacteria; Pseudomonadati; Pseudomonadota; Betaproteobacteria; Burkholderiales; Comamonadaceae
Description: bacterial SSU rRNA
Rfam family: Bacterial small subunit ribosomal RNA
Source: RNAcentral